Molecule: long non-coding RNA, 326 nt
Filed under: Homo sapiens (human)
Lineage: Eukaryota; Metazoa; Chordata; Mammalia; Primates; Hominidae
Description: HSALNT0352415
Source: RNAcentral
GAAGAAAUAUUUUUAUUUGAUGAAUAUUAUAUAUUUUCAGGUGCAGUGGCUUCUAUGUUUUGGGUUGAUGCUGAAUUAGGGAGUGAUAUUUACCUUGAUGGUAUCAUAACUAUUGUGGAUUCAAAAUAUGGAUUAAAAGUGAAAUACCACUAAAGGCAGAAGAGAAUGAAAUCAUCCCACCCACUGACCCGUUCCCAAUCUGAGCAUAUGGAUAGGGCCCAAAGCAGCAAAGAAUUGGACAACUUAAAAUGACAGCUCUCUAUUCUGAGGACUUGACACCCGGGCUACUGACAUUGUUCUUUUCAGUUCUACAAAUGUGACAGCAU